GUGGGGAAUAUUGGACAAUGGGCGAAAGCCUGAUCCAGCCAUGCCGCGUGUGUGAAGAAGGUCUUCGGAUUGUAAAGCACUUUAAGUUGGGAGGAAGGGCAGUAAGUUAAUACCUUGCUGUUUUGACGUUACCGACAGAAUAAGCACCGGCUAACUUCGUGCCAGCAGCUGCGGUAAUACGAAGGGUGCAAGCGUUAAUCGGAAUUACUGGGCGUAAAGCGCGCGUAGGUGGUUCAGCAAGUUGAAGGUGAAAUCCCCGGGCUCAACCUGGGAACUGCCUCCAAAACUGCAUGACUAGAGUACGGUAGAGGGUAGUGGAAUUUCCUGUGUAGCGGUGAAAUGCGUAGAUAUAGGAAGGAACACCAGUGGCGAAGGCGACUACCUGGACUGAUACUGACACUGAGGUGCGAAAGCGUGGGGAGCAAACAGGAUUAGAAACCCCAGUAGUCC
RNAcentral lists this ribosomal RNA (450 nucleotides) under uncultured bacterium. Its description in RNAcentral is "bacterial SSU rRNA". It matches the Rfam family "Bacterial small subunit ribosomal RNA", at positions 354 to 796 of the family's 1533-position model. The record is from RNAcentral.